AUGGAUGCCCCGAAGUGGGUGUUUGAGGAAUUGGAUAAAUGGAUGAGAGCUUUUUUUUGGACAGCGGAAGAGAAAGUAAAUGGAGGGAAGUGUCCAGUGGCUUGGGAUACUAUUUGCAGGCCGGUUUUCUUCGGAGGGUUUGGUGUCAAAAACCUUCAGUUACAAGCUUUGGCACUCCGUGUUAGAUGGGAGUGGCUUCGGAGAACCGACCCCGGCAGGCCAUGGCAGAAUUUGCAUAUGAUAGUGGAUAAGGAGGAAAGACAAGUUUUUGACAGUUUGGUCAACAUUGAGGUGGGAGACGGUGCCAAAACCCUUUUUUGGAGAGAUAGAUGGCUGAAUGGUGCGACCAUUGUUGAUAUCGCACCACACAUU
Molecule: ribosomal RNA, 372 nt
Filed under: Triticum aestivum (bread wheat)
Lineage: Eukaryota; Viridiplantae; Streptophyta; Magnoliopsida; Poales; Poaceae
Description: partial small subunit ribosomal RNA
Source: RNAcentral